RNAcentral lists this ribosomal RNA (217 nucleotides) under Funneliformis coronatus. Its description in RNAcentral is "partial small subunit ribosomal RNA". The stretch from base 24 to 217 matches the Rfam family "Eukaryotic small subunit ribosomal RNA", at positions 669 to 864 of the family's 1831-position model. Lineage: Eukaryota; Fungi; Glomeromycota; Glomeromycetes; Glomerales; Glomeraceae. The record is from RNAcentral.
GGAUCAAUAUAACGGUCAUGCCGUUGGUAUGCACUGUUAUAAUUGGUUUCUCACCUUCUAAAGAACCUCGAUGUCAUUAAUUUGGUGUCUUGGGGAAUCAGGACUGUUACUUUGAAAAAAUUAGAGUGUUUAAAGCAGGCUCACGCUUGAAUACAUUAGCAUGGAAUAAUGAAAUAGGACAUCCGAUUCUAUUUUGUUGGUUUCUAGGAUCGAUGUA